This is a long non-coding RNA of Protopterus annectens (West African lungfish), 619 nucleotides long. RefSeq lists it as uncharacterized. The transcript is spliced from 5 exons. The record is from RefSeq and is a predicted model, not a curated record. Lineage: Eukaryota; Metazoa; Chordata; Ceratodontiformes; Protopteridae.
UACCGUUAACCAAAAGGCUCAAGUAUUUCCUCUGUAAAUCAGACAGAUCAAAGGACUUGGAGCGCUUUGUAAUUCCUUAAAUUAUCACAACAGACGACGCGGUCGUUAUUUUUAAAAGGGUGUAAUAAUCUGUGGCAGACUGCUUACAGUGUUAACCUGACGCAGGGAACUACAAGUACUGUACAAGACCACGGCCGUGACAGAGGCCACACUUAAAGGAUGCCAGCCUAUUAGAAUGUUUCAAUGGAAAGAUGUUAAAAACAGGGCAUUUCUACUCAUGAUUGAUGGUUUUCAGGUAUUUCCUGAUGCUUGCUUAAUUCUCACUGAAGGAUCUGAAUAUACAGAUAAGUAUAUUUUGCACUAAUAGAGACAGAUAACCAACCACUCAUCCGCCCAGCUUGUCGUGGAAAUCAGUUAUCUCCUCAGGUUCAGAUGAGUAACAGUGCGAAAAGACAGAUUAUUAAAAUUGGUCAAAGACUGAACUACUGCUACAAGUUUGGAGUCUGGACAAUAUCAGUUUGUCAUCUAUGAGCACUGGUCGGCUCUAGGCUGUCCAGGCACAGAAUGCCCCUAACUCUGACAUGGAGAGUGCUUGCAUUCACACGGUGCUUCAGGUAAG